AGAGUUUGAUCAUGGCUCAGGAUGAACGCUGGCGGCGUGCUUAACACAUGCAAGUCGAACGAAGCAACCAUGAAGCCUAGCGAUUGGUUGACUGAGUGGCGGACGGGUGAGUAACGCGUGGGUAACCUGCCUCAUACAGGGGGACAACAGUUAGAAAUGACUGCUAAUACCGCAUAACCCGCUAGGGCCGCAUGGCCCGGACGGAAAAGGAGCAAUCCGGUAUGAGAUGGACCCCGCGUCUGAUUAGCUGGUUGGUGGGGUAACGGCCUACAAGGCAACGAUCAGUAGCCGAACUGAGAGGUUGACCGGCCACAUUGGGACUGAGACACGGCCCAAACGUCCUACGGGAGCA
This 352-nucleotide ribosomal RNA is filed under the name uncultured bacterium. Its description in RNAcentral is "bacterial SSU rRNA". It matches the Rfam family "Bacterial small subunit ribosomal RNA", at positions 8 to 350 of the family's 1533-position model. The record is from RNAcentral.